This 863-nucleotide ribosomal RNA is filed under the name uncultured bacterium. RNAcentral's name for it is "bacterial SSU rRNA". It matches the Rfam family "Bacterial small subunit ribosomal RNA", at positions 33 to 873 of the family's 1533-position model. The record is from RNAcentral.
ACGCUGGCGGCAGGCUAAAACAUGCAGUCGAACGCCCGUAGCAUACGGGAGUGGCAGACGGGUGAGUAACACGUGGGAACGUGCCUUUUGGUUCGGAACAACACAGGGAAACUUGUGCUAAUACCGGAUAAGCCCUUACGGGGAAAGAUUUAUCGCCAAGAGAUCGGCCCGCGUCUGAUUAGCUAGUUGGUGAGGUAACGGCUCACCAAGGCUACGAUCAGUAGCUGGUCUGAGAGGAUGAUCAGCCACACUGGGACUGAGACACGGCCAGACUCCUACGGGAGGCAGCAGUUAGGAAUCUUGGACAAUGGGCGCAAGCCUGAUCCAGCCAUGCCGCGUGAGUGAUGAAGGCCUUAGGGUUGUAAAGCUCUUUCAGCGGGGAAGAUAAUGACGGUACCCGCAGAAGAAGCCCCGGCUAACUUCGUGCCAGCAGCCGCGGUAAUACAGAGGGGGCUAGCGUUGCUCGGAAUCACUGGGCGUAAAGCGCACGUAGGCGGCUUUCUAAGUCAGGGGUGAAAUCCUGGAGCUCAAUCCAGAACUGCCUUUGAUACUGGGAAGCUCGAGUCCGGAAGAGGUGAGUGGAACUCCGAGUGUAAGGUGAAAUUCGUAGAUCAUUCGGAAGAACACCAGUGGCGAAGGCGGUCAUGGUUCCGGUACUGACGCUGAGGUGCGAAAGCGUGGGGAGCAAACAGGGAUUGAGAUACCCUGGUAGUCCACGCCGUAAACGAUGGAUUGCUAAGCCGUUGGGGGGUUCACCCUUUCAAGGGGGGGGCAAAGAUAAAGGGCAUUAAGACAUUCCCGACUGGGGAGUAACGGGCGCGCACAGAUUACAGGUCCACAGGAACUGCGACGGGGGACACGAA